CUAGCCGCGUGAGUGAAGAAGGCUUCGGGUUGUAAAGCUCGUUUCGGACCGGGAAGAAAUCGUGGUCUCUAACAUAGGCCAUGGAUGACGGUACCGGACUAAGAAGCACCGGCUAACUACGUGCCAGCAGCCGCGGUAAUAGUAGGUGCGAGCGUUAAUCGGAAGUUACUGGGCGUAAAGCGUGCGCAGGCGGUUUUGUAAGACAGAUGUGAAAUCCCCCGGGCUUAACCUGGGAACUGCGUUUGUGACUGCAAGGCUAGAGUACGGCAGAGGGGGGUGGAAUUCCUGGUGUAGCAGUGAAAUGCGUAGAGAUCAGGAGGAACACCGAUGGCGAAGGCAGCCCCCUGGGCCUGUACUGACGCUCAUGCACGAAAAGCGUGGGGAGCAAACAGGAUUAGAUACCCUGGUAGUCCACGCCCUAAACGAUGUCGACUAGUCGUUCGGAGCAGCAAUGCACUGAGUGACGCAGCUAACGCGUGAAGUCGACCGCCUGGGGGAGUACGGCCGCAAGGUUAAAACUCAAAGGAAUUGACGGGGAC
RNAcentral lists this ribosomal RNA (539 nucleotides) under uncultured bacterium. Its description in RNAcentral is "bacterial SSU rRNA". It matches the Rfam family "Bacterial small subunit ribosomal RNA", at positions 393 to 920 of the family's 1533-position model. The record is from RNAcentral.